GGUGAACGGCGGGGCAACAAAAUAGAAGCUAGGGCCGAAAACCCUAGCAGAGUGUUUCAAUUUCUUUUUUUAUUUUUCUUUGUUUUUUUGCUGCAGAUAUUUUAGUUUUAAAAAAACUAAUUUAAGUAGUAUUAGCGAAACGGCGCCAUUUUAGGGGAGCAGGAUCCGUGCGUCGACUCGACCAGCAAGCAGGGUUCGCACUUCCUGGCCCUAAAUGGUCCAUUUGCGCAAUUGGUCCCUCAGUUUUUAAAAGAGUGUUUAAAUCAACUUUUUGUUCCUUUAAAAUUUGGCCACACGUUUU
Molecule: long non-coding RNA, 301 nt
Filed under: Gossypium raimondii (Peruvian cotton)
Lineage: Eukaryota; Viridiplantae; Streptophyta; Magnoliopsida; Malvales; Malvaceae
Description: long non-coding RNA (GRAI_LNC001325)
Source: RNAcentral